CGUACACUGUAACAAAUUGCUGUAAAAAUACAGCAUAUUUUGUACAGUAAUAUACCGUUCUUUGUAAAUACAGCUGAAUACUGUAAAUUCACGUGUUUUUCAAGAACAAAAUAUUAACAGCAAGCUGCCGUACAAUCUUACAGCAGAUUACAGUAUUUUUCUGGUUUGGGUUGAUUUGAGUGUGACUGUUGCUGCAGUCUGACUGUUACUCGUCUCGGCAAAUCUUCCUGCUCAUCACCACAUUUAGCAAACAGCCAACACAAAGAAGUGACGAAAUAGGUUUAAAAUAUUCUGUAUCAGUGAUUUUACUCAUUACUGAGGGAAGAUGUGGAGAAAAGGAAGAAUUGAGGACGACGAUUUUCGGGCCGGCUCAGACCUGCAGGGACCAUCUGUAGCUGAUCCAUCCUGCUCCGGUUCACUAAACAAGGCGCUUCCUUGGUAUCAACCCUGAGAGGGGAACAAAGGCCAGCCAGGAGAAGGUGAUGUCCAAGAGGUCGGGGAAGCUGCUCCAGAAAAAGACAUCUACUGUAAAUCCCCAUGUAGUCACCUUUAUAAAAAGACUGAUGGACUCUGAGUGGGACUUCAUGUAAACCCACAGCACCUCUCCACACAGAACCUCACUUUCACAAAGGAAAAGCCCAGUCUGCAACCAGAUGUUCAUGCUGUCAUUCUAAGGUAACAAGUCUCAGUAUUGUGUUUGGUUCAGUAUAAAAUACUUCAGUCCUGGUGUCUCAGUUUUGUAGUUCCAGGUUUGUUCCAUGACUUGGUGUUUACUGAACAUGAUCAAGAGUUAUGAAAGACUGAUUCUGAAGGCAGGGUACCUGAAAUGUGAUGUGCAAUUUUUAAACAGAUUGUUGACAACCUGUUAAACAUCAUUAAUUAUUUUUAUAGAUUGUAUUUUACAAGACUUCAAUUUCUUGAAAUUUGUUAGCUGCUGAAUGUGUUCAAUGCAGUAUUAAAUAAUUUAAGUGAUAUAUAGGAAUCUUUUGUUACAGUUCAGGAAAAAUGGAAACCAAACUCAGUGUACCUGAACUAGAACAUGCACAAUGAGAACCUGUUCAGCAUGAGGAAAUGAUUGUAUGUUACUAAGAUUUAAUGGGUUAAAUAAGUCAGUUUUUGAACUAUGUUUGAUACAGUGUUGGCUUUAAUGAAAGCUUAAUGUUGAAAAGUCAUCUCUUGUCUGAGCCAUUUCUAUGCUAUGCUAUUUCCUGGGGCUUUCAUUUUGAAAGCCCCAGGAAAUAGCUCUCUAAACAGCAUAAUACCGUAAUAUUUUUUACAGUAUUAAACUGUUGUUGUAGAAUACGGUAGGAUUACUGUAAAAUAACAGUGUGCUGCUGGCAACUUUAGCUGCCAGCUCUUUACUGUAAAUUUACAGGGAAAUUUCUUAGAGUGUAGAUUUUUUUAUUUUUAUUUUUUUUUACUUUUAUUUAUUUAUCGUGAACAAAACAACGUGUGUUCAUAAUAUCACUCGGUUACACGGUGUGGCUAAUUUUAGUCCUUUUUUUUUAGCUCUUUAGCUAGUAGCUCUUGUGAUGGGUCAAUAUAUAAUUGAGGGACUUUUGAAGUCCAUGGGAUAUAUUUUGCAUACAUUUUCAUUAAAAAAUGUUUUUUUUAAAUUUAUGUUCAUUAUCAUCAUGUCUUUACAACACCAUCCGAAUUUAAUAACAACCACCGUCUAAUUAGCUAAACAAUAAUAAAAUGAGCUUAUUCAAAAA
Amphiprion ocellaris (clown anemonefish) is the source of this 1715-nucleotide long non-coding RNA. RefSeq lists it as uncharacterized. Lineage: Eukaryota; Metazoa; Chordata; Actinopteri; Pomacentridae. The record is from RefSeq and is a predicted model, not a curated record. The transcript is spliced from 2 exons.